RNAcentral lists this transfer RNA (73 nucleotides) under Thermoplasmata archaeon. RNAcentral describes it as "tRNA-Gln". It matches the Rfam family "tRNA". Rfam says of the family: Transfer RNA (tRNA) molecules are approximately 80 nucleotides in length. Their secondary structure includes four short double-helical elements and three loops (D, anti-codon, and T loops). Further hydrogen bonds mediate the characteristic L-shaped molecular structure. tRNAs have two regions of fundamental functional importance: the anti-codon, which is responsible for specific mRNA codon recognition, and the 3' end, to which the tRNAs corresponding amino acid is attached (by aminoacyl-tRNA synthetases). tRNAs cope with the degeneracy of the genetic code in two manners: having more than one tRNA (with a specific anti-codon) for a particular amino acid; and 'wobble' base-pairing, i.e. permitting non-standard base-pairing at the 3rd anti-codon position. RNAcentral also lists the same sequence under 3 other names. The record is from RNAcentral. Lineage: Archaea; Methanobacteriati; Thermoplasmatota; Thermoplasmata.
AGCCCCGUAGUGUAGCGGUCUAGCAUGGGAGACUCUGGAUCUCCCGUCACCAGUUCGAAUCUGGUCGGGGCUA